GACGAACGCUGGCGGCGUGCUUAACACAUGCAAGUCGAACGGAAAGGCCCUGCUUUUGUGGGGUGCUCGAGUGGCGAACGGGUGAGUAACACGUGCGUAACCUGCUCUUGACUUUGGGAUAACUUCAGGAAACUGGGGCUACUACCGGAUAGGAGCUCCUGCUGCAUGGUGGGGGUUGGAAAGUUUCGGCGGUUGGGGAUGGACUCGCGGCUUAUCAGCUUGUUGGUGGGGUAGUGGCUUACCAAGGCUUUGACGGGUAGCCGGCCUGAGAGGGUGACCGGCCACAUUGGGACUGAGAUACGGCCCAGACGCCUACGGUAGGCAGCAGUGGGGAAUAUGGCACAAUGGGCGGAAGCCUGAUGCAGCAACGCCGCGUGCGGGAUGACGGCCUUCGGGUUGUAAACCGCUUUCGCCUGUGACGAAGCGUGAGUGACGGUAAUGGGUAAAGAAGCACCGGCUAACUACGUG
This 468-nucleotide ribosomal RNA is filed under the name uncultured bacterium. Its description in RNAcentral is "partial 16S ribosomal RNA". It matches the Rfam family "Bacterial small subunit ribosomal RNA", at positions 28 to 507 of the family's 1533-position model. The record is from RNAcentral.